Molecule: long non-coding RNA, 3881 nt
Filed under: Sus scrofa (pig)
Lineage: Eukaryota; Metazoa; Chordata; Mammalia; Artiodactyla; Suidae
Description: lncRNA (ENSSSCG00065028631.1)
Source: RNAcentral
UUUUUUUUUUUUUUUUUGUGAAGCCAUUUGUCUGAAAAGUACCAACAAGUGUGCCGAGGGGAGGAAAAAAACCACACACAAACACAACAAGCGGCAUCCUUGGCCCUAAUCAGUUAGGGGAGGGCAGGAGGCCCCACCAGGCACCAGGCCCUCUAGAAGGAAGGUCAGGACCAGGGAGGAUUAGGCCCAGUCUUGGGUUUAUUGCUGUACUUGAACAAAGCACCGGGGGCUGCCUAAACUGAGGCAAGAGAGAGGUAAUUAAUAGAGGAGCUGAAGAAGCAAAGAAAGGCUGGUGUGGCUGCUGCCUGGGUGGGUGGAGAAGCAGAAGUGCUUCUCCAUGAGAAUAACAAGCUGGUGCAAACGUUAUGCAGAAUGACUUUAUUUCACCAAAACAAAACCAAAAAGUUCACAUUCAGCUUCUCACGCUGAGCUGAUAAGCCACAUGCAAACUUUGGAUGGAACCUUGAACCAGUGGGAGGUGUCAGCCCGCAGUUUACACAGGGCAAUGGGAAGCUUUUCCGAGUACUUCUCCCAUUCCUACCUUUGUGAUUCUACCUGCAUCAGCUACUCCCUAGAGUGGCCUUUCUGACCUCCCAACCUGAGCCCGAGGCGAGAUCACUCAGAAUGCACCGCAUUCAUCAAUGCCAUUUCUGGUAAAUUGGACCUCAGGUUUUGGAGUGUCCUAAGAGGGAGGCAGCCUACACAGUGCGCAUACCGAUGUCACAGCAAAUGUGAUGGGCGGCACACAUUCUGUAGCCUUUCCUAGAUAAUAUUAUGGACUUCCCAACCAGAUGCACCCGAGUUUCCAAGACAUUCUGGAUUUCUAGAGCUCUGGGCCCUGCAUCUUAACAGGGCACGCCCCGCGACCUGCAGUCACGGGUAUUGCGUGUGCAGCUGUGCACCAAACGUGUCCCACGGCUUGCCCGCGAGCUGCCGGGGUGGGAGGAAAUGGCCUGGGUGUGAGGCCCGCGCCGGGUGCUGCCCAUUGGUUCUCUGUCCACCGUUUCUAGACCGGCAGCCGUCCUUCGCGCAGCCCUCAUCUCAGCCAGGGCCAGCCCGCCAACCCGAGGCAGGGGGAGUUGGGCGACAGCGCAUCCCUUCAGGGCCCGUCCAGGUAGGGCGCCGGGAAGGGAGCCUGUCUGGGGAAGGGGCAGGAGAGGAUGUUAAAGUUACCCCUCUUUAAGGGAAGUGGAUUGGAGAAGACUGUACUUAGCCCCUGUGCCACAUGCGUUCAUGGAGAGCUUGCGAAGGGCAAGGCACUGGGUUAGGUCCUAGGGGAAUCCAAAAGGACAGAAGUGAUUUUUUAAAAAAGACACCCUUGGCCCUCAAGUAAUUUACAAUCUAGGUGGGAAGACAGACUUAUAAAUGACUAACUCAACACAAAUAAAAGGCAACGUGGAAUGAAUGUAAACAAAGAGCUCGAAUCCUGCAGUAAGUGGUCUGGGGAAAGGCCAAUUAAUUAUUUUAAAAAUAACCCUUACUUCUAAAAAUGUAGAAUCAAUUCGGGGAGGGGAGGAUAAGAAUUUGCCAACACGGAAUAGUUCCAGGGUUCCAGGGAAUAACAGUCAUCACUUCUGAAAGGUUGAUGUUUAGGAAAAACGGCGAAAGUUUAUUUAAACUAAGCGAAAUACCAAGAUUCAGGAACUUUGGAUUCAUUUCUCAGCUCCUGACAUAAGUGGGGUGGUAGAGAUGCAAUUUUCCAUCCAAACACAAUACCACCACCUCCCCUCUCCCCACCUUUGGAGCCAGUAAAACUCCCAUCACACUUCAUAAAAAGAAGGGUUUUAGAAAAUAAAACUAAAUGGGAGAUUAGAAACUUCUAAAAAGGUUUCAGACUUCAAAAUGGGAAUAAUAGUUCCCGUCAUGGCUCAGUGGUUAACAAACCCGACUAGCAUCCAUGAGAAUGCGGGUUCGAUCCCUGGCCUCCCUCAGUGGGUUAAGGAUCCGGCGUUGCCAUGAGCUGUGGUCUAGGUGGCAGAUGCGGCUCAGAUCCUGCAUUGCUGCGGCUGUGGUAUAGGCCACCACAGUUCCAACUGGACCCCUAGCCUGGGAACCUCCAUAUGCCGUGGGAGCGGCCCUAAAAAGACAAAAAAAAAGGGGGGGGGUAAUAAAAAAAAAAAAAACCCACACAAAACAAAAAAGAUGAGCCUGUUUGCAGAUGGUCUCCAAGAUGUGAACGUGGAGAAAACUGUCCCGAGCUGAUUCGUUCAGAGAUUGCAGAGUGUGGGAAAAUUAGUCAUAGGUCAAAGAAAAUUAAGCAAAUUAAAAAAAUGAGGCAAUUAUUAACUCCAGGGGGAAAAAAAAUUGACAAGAAAGGAAAUGUAAUCACUGAAGCUCAUUUGCCUCAGCAAUAAACAAUACAUAUGUGGUCACAAAGUAAACACUGGGUAUGAAUUUAAUAAGAAAUUAUGAUACUGUUCCAUUGUGAGAGGGGGGGAUGGGGAAAUAUGAUGCCGAGAACUCAAAUCCUCCUCUACCAUACCAGGAGGCCAGCACACGAUGUUAUUAUGGAUUCUUUAGGAGGAAGCCACUCUCUGUAUUACUUCGAAAUAUGAUGGCAUCUACCAGAAGAAACAGGCAGGACAGGGGCGGGGGGGGGGGGGGGGGGGGGGGGUGGUUAUCCACAGGGGAUUGCUAUUUUGUAUCAAGUCUUUACCUACUAGUUGGCUUCAUAAACUUCCGGCAAAUGGUCCUUUGUGAAAAAUACACAUUCAGGUCUUAAAAGUAAAAGCGCACACAGAUUUAGAAUAAAACUCUGAGAACCCCCCAAACAGUCACAACGAGGUGACUAAUGUCCUUUGAAACUAUCUCCCUUCAACACAGUCAGCUCCAAUUACCCAAAGUGUGGAAAGAAACAGGGAGGGAGGCCAAUGCAUUUGGCGCUGCUGGCCUGUACGUUCCUAAUUAUAAGGGAAGAGUGAUCAGCGCAAUCUGCCGUCUUCAGGAGAGACGCCCUUUAGAGCUUUACUGUGAAAAUACCUUCCCAAGUAUUAAUGGAAUUCCAAACACCAAUACCGUCUGCUAUAGAAAUGAACUAGAGUCGGAGUUCCCUUCGUGGCACAGUGGAAACAGAUCCGACUAGGAACCAUGAGGUUGCGGGUUCGAUCCCAGGCCUUGGUCAGAGGGUUAAGGAUCUGGCGUGGCCGUGAGCUGUGGUGUAGGUUGCAGAUGCGGCUCGGAUCCCGAGUUGCUCUGGCUGUGGCAUCGGCCAGUGGCUACAGCUCUGAUUGGACCCCUAGCCUGGGAACCUCCAUGUGCCACGGGCGCGGCCCUAAAAAGCAAAAAAAAAGAAAAAAAGAAAUUAACUAGAGUAAGCUUUUGGGGGAGGGCUAAUUGAGAAGGCUUCCAAAGACUUUCCUCUGGGAGCCUACUGCUGGCACCAGAAACUUCCCUCUUUGGAGUUAACUUUGACUAGGAAUUGCUUUCUCCAAAGACCCUCUACUCUUAAAUGCAAAUUGUCUUGGUCCAUUACACGUCAGUGUGAAUUUAAGUUCACAGGUAACCUGUUAGGAUGUCCAACUCUAUUGCACCAUGUGUUAGGGCCUUGCACUCAAACACACAUAAAGGCCCGCAGUUAACAACACCCCCGAAAGGCUUCACAUUCAAAACCAAAGAAAACAUUCCCCUCCCAACACAAAAAAGCCCACCUUGCUGGCUAAAUAAGACUGAUAGGUAGGAUGACACCCCUGUCUUUUUUUUUUUUUUUUUUAAAUUUCAAAUCAAGCCGAGGAGGGACCCAGUAAGUCAGUAAUUUGUGAACACUGGACCCUGUGGAAGAGAAGGGACACAACAAAGGGCCAGUAAACCUGCUGGGUCAACACUGGCCUGGUCUGCAGCCUGAGGCUGGUCUACUCUGCUUCCAAGAUGCCCUUUUGACCCCC